This 303-nucleotide ribosomal RNA is filed under the name Triticum aestivum (bread wheat). RNAcentral's name for it is "partial small subunit ribosomal RNA". The record is from RNAcentral. Lineage: Eukaryota; Viridiplantae; Streptophyta; Magnoliopsida; Poales; Poaceae.
GGGAAGAGGAAGGCAGCCGCUAAGCCGCCCACUAGGAAGCGGAUGGACAAGCUCGAUAUGGUCUUUUCCUGCCCAUUCUGCAAUGAUAGGAGCAGCGUUGAAUGCCGGAUGUGAUAUGGAAACCUGAUUGGUGAGGCUAAUUGUGAAAUCUGACAGGAAAGCUUCAGCAGCCAGCACCACUGCAAAUGGUAUGUCCAAAUCAUACAUAAAACUGCAGAUUGUACCUCCUAUAACAUAGACGUAGAUGCCAUAGAUGCCAUACUGAUUGGCUCUCAACUAGAAAAUUAUGCACCGGGCAUCUGA